GCCAUUUUGUAAACUAAAAAUUUCUUUUCUGCAAAACAACAAUUCGCUUCUACUUACUUAGGUUCGGCAAUUCUUUAUCAGUUUGUCAUUUUUACCCUAAAAAAAGCACAAAUGUCAUUAAUUGCUGUUUUUAUGUGCGGAACGAAAGUUUUUACAACAAAUUUGUCUAUUUCCAUGUAAGAAUUUUGGAAAAAGUCUCCGAAAAACUAUAAAUCUGUGUUCUUUCUAGAGAUUUGAUAUGUGGAAAAUCAAAUAAUUUAAAUAAAUGUCGUGAAACAAAAGCAUUUUGAUGAUAAAAAAGAAAUCUAAGGUCGGUCUCGAUACAACAAAGAGAGUUGUGAUAGAAAGCGUAAUUUACAAAUUACAUUCAAGGCUCCGUUCACGCCGUAAAAAUAUUUGUACAUGUGCGUCCUGUACUUACAGAUAAGCUGUAAAUAUUUAUAAUACGUUUAGUAUGGAGGACGGUCUGACAAAUGAACAAAUAGAUAAGGUUUUGCAAUUGCAAGAUCUUACGGGUAUUGAAGACAUUAACGUAUGCCGGGAUGUAUUGAUAAGACAUCAAUGGGAUUUAGAGGUUGCCUUCCAAGAACAAAUGAACAUACGUGAAGGACGUCCAAGCAUGUUCGCUGGCUCAAGAGAUGUGCGUGCUCCUGUUGUCAUCAACGAUCGUUUUCUGCAGCAAGUUUUUUCUGCUACAAUGCCGGGAGGGCGCACAGCGCGAAGUGUUAAUGGAGCGCCUGUGCCGCGCACUUUUACAGGCAUUCUCGGUUACAUUAUAAAUGUGGUAUUUCAAUAUUGCUAUUCCACCAUAUCCAGCAUUCUCAACUUAUUUAUAGGAGGAAACGAGGAGCGCAUUGUGACAGACCCUUUAGGAGACGUUACAACUUUUAUACGUUCUUAUAGUGAACGCUAUCCCCAACAUCCUGUCUUCUAUCAAGGCACUUAUGCCCAGGCUUUAAAUGAUGCUAAACAAGAGCUCUGCUUUUUGUUGGUAUAUUUGCAUAGCGAUGCCACUAAAAACCUUGAUGUAGAUUCAUUUUGCCGCCAAACCCUAGCCGAUUCGAGUGUUAUUGAAUUCAUUAACCGCAAUACACUCUUCUGGGCAUGUGAUGUGUCUUCGCCUGAGGGUUAUCGCGUCUCUCACUCGAUAAACGCCCGCACAUAUCCCGUCUUGGUUUUAAUAGCAUUGAGAGCUAAUCGCAUGGUAAUUAUGGGACGUUUUGAGGGCGACUGUACUGCCGAAGAAUUGGUGAGACGUUUACAAACUGUGAUUAAUGCUAAUGAUGUUUGGCUCAGCCAGGCUAGAGUCGAUCGUUUAGAGCGAAAUUUUACUCAAACAUUACGUAGACAACAAGAUGAAGCUUACCGACAGAGUCUUAGAGCAGACGAAGAAAAGGAAAGACUUCGUCAAAUGGAACGUGAAAGGGAAAGAGCAGUAGAAGAAACCUUAAAAAGAGAAAAGGAAGAGGCAGAAAAACGUAAAGAGGAAAUUGCCCAAUUGAAAUUGGACUUAACUGAAAGGGUACCGACAGAACCUCCAGUCGAUGCUACUAAUGUCAUUAGCGUAGUAUUUAAACUGCCCAAUGGUGCUCGUAUUGAACGUAGAUUCCUUCAUACUAACUCUUUGGAAGAUGUUUCUAAUUACCUAUUUUGCCAUCCUGCUACACCAGAUGAAUUUGAAAUUACAACGAAUUUUCCAAAACGUACGAUCUACUCGAAAACAAAUGAUAAUGGCACUAGCGUUAAUGGUCGUAAAACUUUAGCAGAUGUUGGGUUGAAACAUCGUGAAGUCCUUUUUGUUAACGAUUUGGAUGCGUAAUAUAUGGCAGCCUUCGACUUCGAAAUUGCAUUAAAGGUACCAGUCUGAUUGCUUCCGACGAUGGUUUACUAAAAAAUAUUUGGGAAUUAUGCGUUUCUUAUUUGAAGCAUGCUGUUAAUUUUAGAGAACAGUCUAUAAAUAAUGCGCUCAGUUUUAAUAUGGUAUUGAAAUAUAAAAAACUUCAAGGGACAAAGUGAAACAAAAGAAGGAUAGUUAUUCAAUUAGCGAACAAGAUUUAGACUAUUCAUCACAACGCGACUUAGAAAUGGUUAACUUUUUUUCAAAUAACACUUUUCAAGAACAAAACAAGGUGAAUAAAGCCAUGUUUGAUCAAACAAUGUCUUCCAAAUUUUGGCAACAACUGGAUUACUUGAAUAUUCUAUUCGAUAAAAAAGCAGCAGCCGACGAAAAUCAAAUUACCCAAAACUGUCAAGUAGAACUAAUGCAACACAAGAACGAAACGAUUUCCGCAAGUUCCAAUGACGAAGCAGAAGAUGUCACUGCUAUACCAAUGCCAACGAAAGUGGAUAUUUUCUCGUGUAAAGAAAAAAGUUUCAUUGAAGAUGAUGUGCUAAAUAGGUCCAACAAUUUGUUGCUGGAUGGAGUAAACCCAAAAACACAAUACUCACAAACGGUAUACACACGUUACCUGCAUGUUGAAAAUGGUCAUUUUCAUGCGUUUUCAACUUUUACCAUUCAUUUACUGGACGAUAAUGAAUCAGAAUCGGAAGAUUUUAAUGUUCGUGAAGGUUAUAUACAUUAUGGUGCUACAGUGAAAUUGGUGUGUUCUGUAACUGGUAUGCGAACAUACGAAGCCUUCGCUGGUCUGACUAAAUUAUGCAAAGUCAUGCACAAGGGCAAGAUAAGCAGCGCUCAAUGGCAAGGACAGAAAGCGGUGCUGGCGGAAGUGAAAACUUGUUUAAUAGUUCACUUCGAGACGGCUGAGGUGACUAAACCCACCUUGGACACCAUCAACAACUUCGUGGAGAUAAUGGAUGGCCUACUGCGUGUACCCUGGCAUAACUAUACACGUCUACACGGUAAGCCAAGACCUCUUGGAAAGAUUUUUCUGCAAGAUGGCGCCAGGCAGGAGAACGAGAACAAGACCGGUGGAAGAUGUAAUGAAGCUGGGCAUCCGCUUAACCAAUCGACAAUUAGAAUUUUGGAGAAGCGGGUCCAGAACUGUUGGCGUUUAUCAGCUGAAUGAAAAGCUGGAUUACAUGACACCAGCCCAGGCCGAAGAUGAGUUUAUGCCAUACGACCUGAAUGGGGAACCAUUUAAAGUAGCUGGCAAGCGGCUAACUAUAAACGAGACUAAAUACUUCAGGCUGCUCACAGGCUAUGGAAUAGCCCAAUACAUCCGUGAGCAGCUAAGAUGCCAAGCAUGCCUAAGCGACUUAACGCUGAGGAAGGAAGAAGCAUGCUCCGAAAUUGAUGGCAAAAUAGUCGCCAAUAUCCCGGAACACAAAAAAAUCCUGGCUAAUGAGGAUCUGGAACCCGAAUUUCCGAGGCGUAAUUUGUUUAUAGUUUUUUCGAAAGCCACGAGCAUCUGCUUGACAAUCAUGAAGUUCCACAUGGUUUAACGCAACAUCGGCAAGCGCACCCAAGCGACGAUUGUGAAGCAGUUUGACUUCUUCAAGAAAACAGGCUCCUGCCCCAAUGGAAGAAGUCACCGCACUAACCACCUAGGCUUCAUCAUACAUUUGCUACUGACUGGCAAAAACUGGGCGCAAGAAAUAGUUGAAAAUGCAUCAUCAUCUUGAAGUCGUGCUUUAGGUCCGCCCGCAAAAUCAAGUCCAGCUAUCCGGUCGACGCCUCAUAUCGAUGAAAAUUCGCUGCAUGCUAAAGAUCAAAGAGCAUGUUUCCUACUGAACCUCCACUCAUCGUUUCAGCAGAAUGGGAUACUUCCGUAGGCCAAUGUUGUCAGCACACCGGCAUAUCAGCCUACUGGGGAGCCAGCCAUUUAAAACAAUUGGCAACGCGCCUAUUACGGUACCACAAGGGUGGUGCGGGAAGUCGUAAAAAUCAGGCUCUGCACAUUCUUGUACUUUACGAUUGUGUGGAAGAAGCCUUCGUGAUGAUGGUCGUUUCGUUGCAAUUGGUACAAUGUUUUCUGGCAAUAGAUACUUAGCUUAAGGAGUAAGCUUCUUAAACAGACGAUUCGUUUCGGGAAAAUAAAACACAUGUGUUAUUACAAAAACCCUUAAAAAUCCUCGCAAGUAAUUAUUAAUUAAUUUAAUUUUAAUUAUUUUGAAACCUAAAAACUGUAAUCUACUCUACAGAAUUUUUGCAAGUUUUUUUUUCAAAAAUAUGCAUUGAUGUCAUGAAAUAUGG
RNA transcript from Glossina fuscipes, 4153 nucleotides. It is a transcript of the gene named FAS-associated factor 2, with no coding region annotated. NCBI's taxonomy places the organism in Eukaryota, Metazoa, Arthropoda, Insecta, Diptera, Glossinidae. The record is from RefSeq and is a predicted model, not a curated record. The transcript is spliced from 9 exons.